This is a long non-coding RNA of Gadus macrocephalus (Pacific cod), 297 nucleotides long. RefSeq lists it as uncharacterized. The transcript has 2 exons. The record is from RefSeq and is a predicted model, not a curated record. Lineage: Eukaryota; Metazoa; Chordata; Actinopteri; Gadiformes; Gadidae.
CAUCGUGGUCCCGGCGUGAAUCGACAGGAGGGCUACAGCUAGAGUGGUGGGAUCAUGGUGCGAUCCAGAUGCCUCGGUCACCAGUCUUCCGAGUUGCACUUGUGACGUAAUUUCCUGUCUCGUAGCACUUAUAGCGUUCCCGUUUGUCUCUGUGAUUGUCCUCUUUAGCAAACCAGCUCGAAAACAAACAACACAACACAUUACAUUCUAUUGCACGCGCAGCAAGAACCUGCAAUGCAUAAAUUGGUGACCGGAAUAAAGUAGCAAUGCAAUCAAGUGUGCAUUUAAAAUCGACAU